UAUUUCUAUACCCAUUUCUUGUAAAUGGAACCAUUACAGGAAUAAAGGGGCCAUAAUUUCACUUUCAAUAUGACUCUGUUUUAGACAGGAGAGAACGACUGCCCCAUCUCAUUAAGGAUCUCAAGUUGAAGGCCGACCAAAAUACUGAAGGUGGUUGUAUCCAGAAAGCAGGAUACUCCAUUAUAGUCAAUAGGAAAAUGGCAAUCUUUGUGGUCAAUAUUUGUUUCAGAAGACAAUAAAGGUUACAAUACUUGUGAAAUUUUGGACCGGGGUGAUGUCUGGAAAGGACAUUUUCCUAUCAUUAAAGGAUAAAGGGUCCGGUUAGCCCUGACCAUUAUCCGUUUCGAAUUCACCGACUCAAAGACGCUUGCCCGCUCCAUCAUAACUCUGUAAGUUUUCCCUCCCUGUUUAGAUCAAACGUCCUGCCUGUAAAUCCUGGAUAUGCCCACAUCAUUAAUUAAUAAGAUGUGUAGAAAACUGUUUAGCCAUAGUUAAAGGCCUUUCAUAAAGAGGCUGUCAUGAUUGCAUGUGUCACAUGUUUAACACGUAUUGCUUGUUACAGAAUAGUACUGUUGUACAUUUAAUAUCCCCUAGCAGAUUUCGUCGCAUUUGCACAAAUUCUGUCAUGUUACUGUGGUCUUUUUAAAUGUCAAUAAAUAUGUAUGUAAAGUGUACAUGUUUGUUUCACUGUAGAUUUGUUUAAGCCAUCCUAGAAACACCUAAUUUCAUCAUCCCACAGCAUUAAUUAAUGAGCUGUGUAGAAGCUGUUUAGCCCUAAGUAAAGGCCUUUCAUAAAGAGGCUGUCAUGAUAAACCUGAAUCCGUAAGUUUUCCAUCCAUGUGUAGAUCAAACGUCCUGCCUGUAAAUCCUGGGUAUGCCCACAUCAUUAAUUAAUAAGAUGUGUAGAAAACUGUUUAGCCAUAGUUAAAGGCCUUUCAUAAAGAGGCUGUCAUGAUUGCAUGUGCCUCAUGUUUAACACGUAUUGCUUGUUACAGAAUAGUACUGUUGUACAUUUAAUAUCCCCUAGCAGAUUUCGUUGCAUUUGCACAAAUUCUGUCAUGUUACUGUGGUCUUUUUAAAAGUCAAUAAAUAUGUGUGUGAAGUGUA
Oncorhynchus mykiss (rainbow trout) is the source of this 1107-nucleotide non-coding RNA. Lineage: Eukaryota; Metazoa; Chordata; Actinopteri; Salmoniformes; Salmonidae. The record is from RefSeq and is a predicted model, not a curated record.